UGCCGGACAUGCUGGUAGACUUCUUCUUCAGCACAGAAGAAAGAGCAUGCAGCUUGGUCAUCACACUGAUCUUUGUGCGGGUUGCAAAAUCAGCGGGAGUGGGAUUAAGAAAACAGUCCCGCGCAGGGCUCUACUUCACAGUAGUACUGGAAGAUUGUAUUCUCAUCUGAAACCAGGUGGUCUUGUUCCAGGAGCUUCCCAUAAUUGCCCGUAGCUCAUCUUGUGUGAACAUCUUUGACUGAUCAUAAGUAAGUGUAAAGACGAAAUCAUUAGAUAACUGUGUUCAUGUGAUGCAGGGAGAAUGUUUCUUGUUAUUGCUCAUUUGUUCUUGGAAGACCACACACAUAAUUGCCUGGAAUCACAAAUGUCUGUGUGGCUACUGUUGAAGGCAACAGAAAUUAAAGAAACGAAAAGAAGACUGCUUUGUGGUCGUUCUAAUCGCCACCUGAACAACACAUCAUCUUAAACUAGUGAAUACAGUCCUUCUUGAAGUCCUCAUGAACAAUGAGAAACCUUACAUGUAGGAUUGAUGGUACUCCAUCCUGGCUAGUUAUUUACACAAAUAGCCCGCUACAUUUUCUUACAACAAUGAAGAAUUUAAAAUGCCAGGUCAAUAUACAACUCUUGACAGAACCAUUCAAUUUUACAUUUAGAUAGAACAAAUAAUGUAUGUAAACUUAAAGAGGUCAUAUUAUGCUUUUUGGCCUUUCCCCACUCCUUUGUUGAGUUAUAUCUUUUUGUGCAUGUAAUAAGUUUGCAAAGUGAAAAAGCCUAAAGUCCUACCCAAAGGGAGUUCCCAUCUUCCACAGAAAACACUGCUCUGAACUCCCUAAAAACAGCUCAUUUGUAGCCCAGCCUUUUCUUCCGCUUUGCCUUGACAUCACAGCAAAACAAGCGUCAUAAUCAAGCGGGAAGCUUCCGGUUUGAG
Long non-coding RNA from Micropterus salmoides (largemouth bass), 928 nucleotides. RefSeq lists it as uncharacterized. The transcript is spliced from 3 exons. NCBI's taxonomy places the organism in Eukaryota, Metazoa, Chordata, Actinopteri, Centrarchiformes, Centrarchidae. The record is from RefSeq and is a predicted model, not a curated record.